Fukomys damarensis (Damara mole-rat) is the source of this 120-nucleotide ribosomal RNA. NCBI's taxonomy places the organism in Eukaryota, Metazoa, Chordata, Mammalia, Rodentia, Bathyergidae. The record is from Ensembl.
GCUGUCUAUGGCCACACCACCCUGAAUGCACCCGAUCUCGUCUGAUCUCGGAAGCUAAGCAGGGUCGGGCCUGGUUGUACUUGGGUGGGAGAUUAAUUUAGCCACACUGAGCUGACAGCA